GACGAACGCUGGCGGCGUGCCUAAUACAUGCAAGUAGAACGCUGAAGCUUGGUGCUUGCACCGAGCGGAUGAGUUGCGAACGGGUGAGUAACGCGUAGGUAACCUGCCUGGUAGCGGGGGAUAACUAUUGGAAACGAUAGCUAAUACCGCAUAAGAGUAGAUGUUGCAUGACAUUUGCUUAAAAGGUGCAAUUGCAUCACUACCAGAUGGACCCGCGUUGUAUUAGCUAGUUGGUGAGGUAACGGCUCACCAAGGCAACGAUACAUAGCCGACCUGAGAGGGUGAUCGGCCACACUGGGACUGAGACACGGCCCAGACUCCUACGGGAGGCAGCAGUAGGGAAUCUUCGGCAAUGGACGGAAGUCUGACCGAGCAACGCCGCGUGAGUGAAGAAGGUUUUCGGAUCGUAAAGCUCUGUUGUAAGAGAAGAACGAGUGUGAGAGUGGAAAGUUCACACUGUGACGGAAUCUUACCAGAAAGGGACGGCUAACUACGUG
RNAcentral lists this ribosomal RNA (497 nucleotides) under uncultured bacterium. RNAcentral's name for it is "partial 16S ribosomal RNA". It matches the Rfam family "Bacterial small subunit ribosomal RNA", at positions 28 to 507 of the family's 1533-position model. The record is from RNAcentral.